CGUACGGGCGGCUGCAGUGGGGAAUAUUGGACAAUGGGCGAAAGCCUGAUCCAGCCAUGCCGCGUGUGUGAAGAAGGCCUUCGGGUUGUAAAGCACUUUCAGUGGGGAAGAAAGCCUUGGGGCUAAUACCCUCGAGGAAGGACAUCACCCACAGAAGAAGCACCGGCUAACUCCGUGCCAGCAGCCGCGGUAAUACGGAGGGUGCGAGCGUUAAUCGGAAUUACUGGGCGUAAAGCGCGCGUAGGCGGUCUGAUAAGCCGGUUGUGAAAGCCCCGGGCUCAACCUGGGAACGGCAUCCGGAACUGUCAGGCUAGAGUGCAGGAGAGGAAGGUAGAAUUCCCGGUGUAGCGGUGAAAUGCGUAGAGAUCGGGAGGAAUACCAGUGGCGAAGGCGGCCUUCUGGACUGACACUGACGCUGAGGUGCGAAAGCGUGGGUAGCAAACAGGAUUAGAUACCCGAGUAGUC
RNAcentral lists this ribosomal RNA (465 nucleotides) under Vreelandella stevensii. RNAcentral describes it as "partial 16S ribosomal RNA". It matches the Rfam family "Bacterial small subunit ribosomal RNA", at positions 338 to 795 of the family's 1533-position model. Lineage: Bacteria; Pseudomonadati; Pseudomonadota; Gammaproteobacteria; Oceanospirillales; Halomonadaceae. The record is from RNAcentral.